This 468-nucleotide ribosomal RNA is filed under the name uncultured bacterium. RNAcentral's name for it is "partial 16S ribosomal RNA". It matches the Rfam family "Bacterial small subunit ribosomal RNA", at positions 28 to 507 of the family's 1533-position model. The record is from RNAcentral.
GACGAACGCUGGCGGCGUGCUUAACACAUGCAAGUCGAACGGAAAGGCCCUGCUUUUGUGGGGUGCUCGAGUGGCGAACGGGUGAGUAACACGUGAGUAACCUGCCCUUGACUUUGGGAUAACUUCAGGAAACUGGGGCUAAUACCGGAUAGGAGCUCCUGCUGCAUGGUGGGGGUUGGAAAGUUUCGGCGGUUGGGGAUGGACUCGCGGCUUAUCAGCUUGUUGGUGGGGUAGUGGCUUACCAAGGCUUUGACGGGUAGCCGGCCUGAGAGGGUGACCGGCCCCAUUGGGACUGGGCUACGGCCCGGACUCCUACGGGAGGCAGCAGUGGGGAAUAUUGCACAAUGGGCGGAAGCCUGAUGCAGCCACGCCGCGUGCGGGAUGACGGCCUUCGGGUUGUAAACCGCUUUCGCCUGUGACGAAGCGUUAGUGACGGUAAUGGGUAAAGAAGCACCGGCUAACUACGUG